RNAcentral lists this ribosomal RNA (423 nucleotides) under uncultured prokaryote. RNAcentral describes it as "bacterial SSU rRNA". It matches the Rfam family "Bacterial small subunit ribosomal RNA", at positions 355 to 796 of the family's 1533-position model. The record is from RNAcentral.
UGGGGAAUCUUGGACAAUGGGGGCAACCCUGAUCCAGCGACGCCGCGUGGGUGGUAAGGCCUUCGGGUUGUAAAGCCCUUUCACCGGGGAAGAUGAUGACAUUACCCGGAGAAGAAGCACCGGCUAACUCUGUGCCAGCAGCCGCGGUAAUACAGAGGGUGCAAACGUUGCUCGGAAUGACUGGGCGUAAAGCGCGCGCAGGUGGCCCGUUAAGUCGGCUGUGAAAUCCCCUGGCUCAACCAGGGAAGUGCAGUCGAUACUGGCGGGCUCGAGUCCCGGAGAGGGUGGUAGAAUUCCCAGUGUAGAGGUGAAAUUCGUAGAUAUUGGGAGGAAUACCGGUGGCGAAGGCGACCGCCUGGACGGGUACUGACACUGAGGCGCGAAAGCGUGGGGAGCAAACAGGAUUAGAUACCCGUGUAGUCC